GCCCAGAGAAAAUCCUCACCGACCAGGGGUCUGUGUUUGAAUCACAGUUGUUCCAGGAGAUGUGCCUGCUACAUAAUUGCCAGAAGGUCCGGACCACAGCCUACCAUCCACAAGGUAAUGGACUCUGUGAAAAAAUUAAUCAAACCCUCAUUGAAAUGUUGAGAGCAGUGCCCCCUGAAACAAGGGGUAAUUGGCCUACUCUGCUGCCACAUUUUAUGUAUAUGUAUAACAAUACAAUUCAUUGUUUCAACGGGUACACACCCUUCUAUUUGAUGUUCGGCCGUCAGGUGAAGCUGCCUGCUGGGUGGUGGAGCAUCAAAGACGUCUCCUUAAUGCCAAGCAAAUUGUUCAGGAGCGCAUGGAAAGUGUCUGAGAGCGGCAGCAGAGAGACUAUGACCUGGCUGCUCAUGCAGAACCUCUUGCUGUAGGAAACGUGGUAUGGCUGAAAAAUAACCACCGAAUCAGCAAGCUGAACAUACUUAAAGAACUGAAAAAAAAAAUGGUUGCCCUUCAACGGGACCACACCCAGCAAUUGCGGAAGUUCCAGGAGCAGCCCAACAGAAAGAUGAGGGAGAUGAGGCUCCAGUACCCCCACCAAAUGGGUGUGUUGGAGGAGCAGCACAACAAGGCCAUGGAGGAAAUCCUAAACCUCCACGAUCAAUUAAAAGCCUUGCCUUAAGGCAAAUUGUUAAUUUAAUUCCUUUUUUGUUUAUACAAAUAUAAUGUUUUAAUAUUUAA
Bufo gargarizans (Asiatic toad) is the source of this 738-nucleotide long non-coding RNA. RefSeq lists it as uncharacterized. The record is from RefSeq and is a predicted model, not a curated record. NCBI's taxonomy places the organism in Eukaryota, Metazoa, Chordata, Amphibia, Anura, Bufonidae. The transcript has 2 exons.